Molecule: long non-coding RNA, 509 nt
Organism: Musa acuminata AAA Group (dessert banana)
Lineage: Eukaryota; Viridiplantae; Streptophyta; Magnoliopsida; Zingiberales; Musaceae
Exons: 4
Source: RefSeq, a predicted model, not a curated record
CUCAUUUGCCAACAUAAGUGUAGAAAGCAUUGCCGGUCUCUUUGGAAUCAGACUCCGACCCAACCUUUGCCCCAACUUUGUGUCUAUCCGCCUCCUUCUCGCUGCUGCAUAUGACCGCAACUCCUCUCUACUCUUCCGUGUCCGGUGAUGGAUCGUUGAAGAAGAAAGUGGUGGAUGUGAUGCCGGUCGCCACUAGACUCGAGCGCGAGGAGCUCGAGGGGAAGAAGCGUUUCGAUGUGGAUGCUCCGGCGGGCCCUUUUGGCACUAAGAAGGUGACAUUCUCAUUACGAGUGGCUGGUCCUUGAACCACCUCUUAUGGCCUCUUCAGAGAUAUUGGGAGGCCCCACCUUGGCUGGCCUUAGACUAAGGCAUGUUGUAUGAAUUUUCUAUUUUCUAGUUAUGUUUGUCUAUUAUUAUUUUCAUAUUGAUUGUAGAGCUAUACUUUGGACAAAUAUUAGAUUUAAGAAGUCAUUAAGCCAUUAAUACUGUGGUUUAGAGAGUUCUCUAUC